GCUGGUGUAGCUUAAACUAAAGCAUAACACUGAAGAUGUUAAGAUAAGCCUUGAAAAGCUUCACGAGCA
Molecule: transfer RNA, 69 nt
Filed under: Spratelloides gracilis (silver-stripe round herring)
Lineage: Eukaryota; Metazoa; Chordata; Actinopteri; Clupeiformes; Clupeidae
Description: tRNA-Phe
Rfam family: tRNA
About the family: Transfer RNA (tRNA) molecules are approximately 80 nucleotides in length.
Source: RNAcentral